GAAUGCUGACAUAAGUAACGAUAAAGCGGGUGAAAAGCCCGCUCGCCGGAAGACCAAGGGUUCCUGUCCAACGUUAAUCGGGGCAGGGUGAGUCGACCCCUAAGGCGAGGCCGAAAGGCGUAGUCGAUGGGAAACGGGUUAAUAUUCCCGUACUUGGUGUUACUGCGAAGGGGGGACGGAGAAGGCUAUGUUGGCCGGGCGACGGUUGUCCCGGUUUAAGCGUGUAGGUGUGUGUUCCAGGUAAAUCCGGUUCACUUUAACACUGAGGCGUGACGACGAGGCACUACGGUGCUGAAGCAACAAAUGCCCUGCUUCCAGGAAAAGCCUCUAAGCAUCAGGUAACAUCAAAUCGUACCCCAAACCGACACAGGUGGUCA
This 377-nucleotide ribosomal RNA is filed under the name Salmonella enterica subsp. enterica serovar Virchow. Its description in RNAcentral is "partial 23S ribosomal RNA". It matches the Rfam family "Bacterial large subunit ribosomal RNA", at positions 1292 to 1669 of the family's 2925-position model. The record is from RNAcentral. RNAcentral also lists the same sequence under 1 other name. Lineage: Bacteria; Pseudomonadati; Pseudomonadota; Gammaproteobacteria; Enterobacterales; Enterobacteriaceae.